RNAcentral lists this ribosomal RNA (432 nucleotides) under uncultured bacterium. RNAcentral describes it as "partial 16S ribosomal RNA". It matches the Rfam family "Bacterial small subunit ribosomal RNA", at positions 29 to 507 of the family's 1533-position model. The record is from RNAcentral.
ACGCACGCUGGCGGCCUGCCUCACCCAUGCAAGUCGCACGCGACCUUCGGGUCUAGUGGCGCACGGGUGCGUAACGCGUGGGAACCUGCCCUUAGGUUCGGAAUAACUCCCCGAAAGGGGUGCUAAUACCGGAUAAUGUCUUCGGACCAAAGAUUUAUCGCCUUUGGAUGGGCCCGCGUUGGAUUAGCUAGUUGGUGGGGUAAAAGCCUACCAAGGCGACGAUCCAUAGCUGGUCUGAGAGGAUGAUCAGCCACACUGGGACUGAGACACGGCCCAGACUCCUACGGGAGGCAGCAGUGGGGAAUAUUGGACAAUGGGCGAAAGCCUGAUCCAGCAAUGCCGCGUGAGUGAUGAAGGCCUUAGGGUUGUAAAGCUCUUUUACCCGGGAUGAUAAUGACAGUACCGGGAGAAUAAGCUCCGGCUAACUCCGUG